UAAAAGCAAGAGUAUAUAAUGUAAGUAUUCCUAUUAUUAAUUCAAGAAAUAUUUGAGCAUGUUCUGUGUUAGAAACGAGAUGCACAGGUGAGUUGGGAGAAAUGCCUGGCCCCUCCUCUAGCAGAGAAUAUAGACGUGUACAAUCACGCUAUGAGACCUGAAGAGGAAGCACAGAGUCCUAAGAUGGGAAUGACACAGUGACCUAACCCAGUAUAGGUUAUAGGCCGGGAGAGGAUUCUGUGAAGUAAUGUUUAAAUUGUAUUCUGAAGGACAAGAGAAGUUACUCAGGUGAAGGGGGGAAGGCUACAACACAGAAUAGCAUUUUCAUAGCUGGGAAGAGCACGCAAACAGUGCAGUCUGCAAGGGAGGAACACCGGUAUGAGAGGAGCCAGGAAGACCUGGAGCACACGUUGCUAAGAACCUGCUCUCUGAACUUCCGGUCACUGAGCAGCCAAUUAAGAGUUUUAAAGAGAGAAGCUAUAGAAUCAGAUCUUUUAAACAGAUCACUGUGCCCCAGUGUGAGGAAGGCACAGGGAAUCAAAAGAAGUGGGGAGGCUUGUUCUGAAGAGGCUGUCUAGUACUCAAGGUCUACACCAGGGUGCUAACAAUGAGGACAAAAGGUGAACGGAUCUGAGACACAUUUACGCAGAACCGACAGAAUUUGGUGAUGACUAGAUGUAAAGGAGUUUUAAAGGAUGAAUCUCCAGUUUUUGGCCUGACAACUGCUACAGCGAUUUCUGACUGCUGAGUCUGAGUUCCUGCCCCAACUUAUCAUUUCUCUCUUGUCCAAUAUUCAUUCACACUUGAAAACUUUCCCUCAACACUAUUUAAUACAUAAUAGACAAUAAAUAUAUUGACUAUGACUGAUUUAUUUAAAGUCCUGUAAGAGCUAUUAGAAAGGUUCUUUACAUUAAAAUAAACAAGGUAGAGAUAAAUAAUAUAGAUACCACGUGUUGAAUCACACUAAGUCUUUGAAAUUGAGUGCAUAUUUUACACUGAAAGCACAUUUCAAUUCGGAGUAGCCAUGAAGUGCUCAGGAGCCACAUAUGGCCAGUGACUAAGGCACUGGACAGCACAGUUCUGGACAGUACAGAAUUACUGAAAAUUUUUGAGCAGGGUGUGGUUUGCAGGAUAUCACCGUAGAAAGCUUACCAGAAUAGCCAUUUUGGGGCUGAAUAGAUGAAGAAAGAGAAUAAAGGCAGGAGAUCAGCUGAGCCACUUUUCUGACACUACAGGUCUGAGACCUUGGAAUGCUUGAGAAUCAAAAAGUAAUGGAUAAAGAUUUGAAAAAGAAGAAAGGUAUUUGAAAGCAGUAGUCCUGGGGGAAACAUGAGAAGGGAAAAGAGAGCCAAAGAAUCCGAGAACACUGAAGCUGGGAAGAAGAGAAUGGUUACAACUCUGGAGGUUAACACUCUGGUAAAACAGAACACAGGAGUAUGUAAUGAGAAAGAAGUGAGAAUUUGUGAGCAAGUGUCAAGCAGUUUACGUGGGCAGUGUGAUGGGCAAUCGAGCGUGGGACAGUGUAAAAGCUGUUGAGUAGCAGUGAAACCAGAAAAUGUGCUUGGCUGGUAUCAAGCAUGAAUGUAUGCCAAGUCCCAUAAACAAUUUUAUGAUUCUUUCUCUUCACAGUGCUCGCUCUGCAGUCCCAAAGAAGAAAGCACAGUACUGGCCAGGAGGCUACGGAAUCCAGGUGCUGAGAAGACAAUGAGAGCAUAGGAUGGGGCUCAGGCUGGCCAGUGAAAUGAAAAGAGGUCUUAAAGAAAAGGAUACAGGCGGAAAGCCCCUCAAUGACCGACCACGUGCACCGUGGACACUGGCUACGGAACUCGCAUGCACGGAACUGGAAGUGCACAAGGACGAGGAGGAAUCUCGUGUUAAGCAUCUCAAUAAACUAUGACCCUCAAUCAUCUCACAACAAAUAUUUUGAAAUGAGAACCAGGACCUUUAGGAAGGCCAACUCAGACUCAAAGAUGAAUACUAUUCAAACGACUCCUUAAUAAAGAUUCUUUUCUGUGGAA
This is a non-coding RNA of Equus caballus (horse), 2018 nucleotides long. NCBI's taxonomy places the organism in Eukaryota, Metazoa, Chordata, Mammalia, Perissodactyla, Equidae. The record is from RefSeq and is a predicted model, not a curated record.